This 71-nucleotide transfer RNA is filed under the name Loxodonta africana (African savanna elephant). It matches the Rfam family "tRNA". Rfam says of the family: Transfer RNA (tRNA) molecules are approximately 80 nucleotides in length. Their secondary structure includes four short double-helical elements and three loops (D, anti-codon, and T loops). Lineage: Eukaryota; Metazoa; Chordata; Mammalia; Proboscidea; Elephantidae. The record is from Rfam by way of RNAcentral.
ACAUUGGUGGUUCAGUGGUAGAAUCCUCCUCUUCCAUGCAGGAGACCUGGAUUGAAUUCCCAGCCAGUGUA